UCCACUUUUGAUACUUUCCUAGUGUCUUCCC
RNAcentral lists this non-coding RNA (31 nucleotides) under Mus musculus (house mouse). The record is from RNAcentral. Lineage: Eukaryota; Metazoa; Chordata; Mammalia; Rodentia; Muridae.